UAAAACUAGAAAUAAAAAAACUAUGAUGAAGGCCAAAACCAUGACACACACUAUGCUAUUACCUUCAGAGGAGAGGAGGCUCCGUGAAAUAUCAGAGACACUGCCAAAAUAAUUUUUACAAAGCAUUAUUACAUGGUUGUUGAUGUACACACUCUGAGAAGUUAUUUCCCUUCCUUGCAUUUAUUUCCAUGUAAAACUGACUUUGGGUUAUACAAGGACUUUGGGCUGAGUCCCUCGGUGCAACACUCCAGCUCAGCACUUAUGGAAUGCUGCAUGCCCGCCCACACAUCUUCACCCGCGGCUCCAUUGGAUGAAACAUCAUUUCCUGAGAUAUCACCCUGAAAUGUAUAGGGAGGCAACUGUCACUAUAUCAUGUAGAUGCAGUUACUGAGAUACACAGAGCCUAGAGGCUAGUAAAAGGCAGGGCCCGUUUGUGCCAUAGCCUCCGGUGGAAGAGCGUGGGAGAACAAUAGAACCCUUCCAUGUGUACAACACUGAGUUCAGAGUGUUCAAGGAGCUGGUUCCAAAGUUCUUAGAAAGAUAGCAAAAUCCGUAAUGAUGGGAAAAGAUGGAGUUACCCACUGUGGAUCCAUUCUGCAAUGUUUCUCCUUGAAGUGAGAUCAAAUGCCUGAGCACGAGUUGUCCUGAGGUCUCCUCCUUUUGAAAGAGAUUGGCCAGAAAUCAAUUGCCUGAUUGAAGUCAGCCUUGCUGUUAACUAAAGAUCAAGCCAGAUGGCGCAGGUCACUAAAGAUGACUGGUUCUGCCCCUGCUGGGAACAGUUCUUGGGCCAGCUGCUCUAAGUCCCCCGCCAGCUUUCCACAAAUGUCUGACCAUCUUGUCACCCUCUUCCUGCAGACAUGAUCAGACACAUUCCCUUCCCCUGAGCCUGUCUGUAGGGAACUGUGCAGUGCCAGCAGAGUUCUGGAAGGAUGAAGUGCUGAGUCUCUGUUGGGUACAGACACAUCCAGUUACUGGCAGGACAGAGUAGUGCUGUGGGCAUUUAAUCAAGAUUCUGUUAGGCAGGGAGGUGUGCUGAGGCUGGAGUUCAGCAGGGAAUGAGAGCAAUUGCUUAUAUUUCCUGAGGAGCUACGAUGGCCAGCUCAGCACUAAGUGCUUCAUAUACAUUACUUCAUUUAAUUCCCACAACAUUCCAGUGAGGCUGGUGGGUACUAGUACUGCUACUGUCCCUUUUCACAGAGAAGGAAACUGAGGUUCCAGGUCAUAAAGAAGUUGCUUAAGCAUACAGCUAAGAGCAGGAGAGCCAGGAUGUUAGCCAGUUGGUCUGAUUCCAGAGUAAGGUCUUCAGGUCUUGGAAUCAGAGUUGGUCUGAUUCCGAGGUUGGUCUGUCUGCAAAGACAUCAAGGAGUUCACAGUGCAGUGGGAGAGAGAGACAAGCCAGCUGGGAUUAUAUGAAAUGAUAUGAGGAUAUGAUAUGGUGGGCCUCGCCCAAUCAGCUGAAGGCCUGAAGAGAACAGAAGGCUGAACCUCCUGUGAGUAAAAGUCCUCCUGCCUGGAUGCUUUCAAACUGGGACAUCAGCUUUUUUUCCUGCCUUCAGACUCGAACUGAAGGAUCCACUCCACUCUUCCUGGGUCUCCAGCUUGCAGACUCCCUCUGCAGAUCUUGGGACCUGCCCACCUUUAUAAUUACGUGAACCAAUUCCUUAUAAUGAAUCGCUUUAUUUGCACACACACACGUCCUAUUGGUUGUUUCCCUGGAGAGCCGUGACUUGUACACACCCUGUUCUUAUUCUGUCACAAUGCCUGUUACAACAUCUCAGCACUGGCCAUUUAACUGCAUCUCCUACUGAGCUGGAAGCUCUGGUGGAUAGGGGCAGGUCUGCUCAUUCACUGCUGCCUUCCCUGCACCUGGUACCAUGCACACAGAAUAAGCCUAGCAGAAUGCCUGUGGAUGGACUGACCAAUGAAAGUAAUGAGGUGCUGGGACCCGAAGGCUGAGUGGCAUGAGUCAUGAGGAGGCAUAGGUGGAGUUGGAGGUGGGAGGAGGAUGAUGUAGCAAAGGUAUUUAUAUCAGCCAGAGUCCCAGCAGGAAGAUGGCAUCUUCCACAAGAUAAGUGGGCCAAGUUUAAAGAUGAGAUGAUCUACACAGGUCUGGGCAGGGCUAUGGGGUUCCCCAGGGGUGGAGGUGCCCCAGGGAGGGGAGUAGCACUAGCACUAAGCCUGAGAGUGCAGCCUGUGCAGUCACCUGUCAGUGCUCAGAGAGUCCCCGUGCUUCGUUUAACCCUCUGCUGUCACAUUCUUGAAAUCUCGAAUACUUUUUGAACAAGGGUUUUUGCAUUUCAUUUUGGCCUUGGGCCCUGCAAAUAAUGUAGCCCAUCUGCUUCGACCUCCUCCAAGUCUGAAGAGACAAAGGGAGGAAGGAAUGACAUUGGUUGGAGCCCAGCUAUGGGAAGGGCUGUUUAAUAGGGUCUGUUGUCUGAGGCCAGGCGCAGUGGCUCAUGCCUGUAAUCCCAGCACUUUGGGAGGCUGAGGCGGGAGGAUCACCGAGGUCAGGAGUUCGAGACCAGCCUGGCCAAGAUGGCGAAACCCCAUCUCUACUGAAAAUACAAAAAUUAGCCAGGUAUUGUCAUGCAUGCCUGUAAUCUCAGCUAUGUGGGAGGCUGAGGCAGGAGAAUCGCUCAAACCUGGGAGAUAGAGAUUGCAGUGAGCCGAGAUGGCACUGCUGCACGCCAGCCUGGGCAACAGAGCAAUACUCUGUCUAAAACAAAAACAAAAAACAGGGUCUGUGGCCCAAUACAGCAGCUACCAUCAUAACUGAGGCUUCCUAUGGAGGAAGAGGGUAUAAAUUCCCUGGCUCUUUCUCCUCCACCCUCAUGAAUCCUGCCAGUGCCUCCCACUGGCUGAAACGCACGAGAGCCUGUAAAUUCCCCAGGCACAGAACGAGGAUGUGAACUGCAGGUAGAAGACCUGGAGGGGGAAGGGAGACUAACGGCACACAUGUAUGCAAAGAAUCAAACGAUCUGCCCUUCCGCAGCCUGCAGGCUCCUACCUGUAUGGCACCUUCCUGCUCAGCCUCUAGAAACCACACCAUCCUCCAGGACCAUCCCAACAUCUUUGCUGCCCAUCCAGCUUGUUCACCUCCUCUGAGCCACUUGUAUAGCAUAUCUGAUCUGACUCCAUAUAUUUAUGCAUUUAAAACUGUAUAAAUAAUUUUAAAAAUUUAAAGGACAUACUUGAGGACCAUCUGAGAUACGGAAAUGAGAAGCACAGUCCCUGCUGGGGUAAACAGCUGCCCACAGUUGGUUCACACUCUUGGCUGGUCCCCUUCUAAGUGAGUCUAGCCUUAGCCAUGUGACUUGUUUGGCCAAUGGGACAACAGCAAAUGUAACACAAGUAGAGGGUUGAAACGUGCGUGCACAUCGAGUCCUGCCCUGUCUUGCUGCUGAAAACUGCUGCCACCACGUGAACAAGACUGGGUUGAUCACAUGAAGGAUAAGAGGUCCUAAUUAUCCCAGCAAUCCACACCAUGCCCGCUGAGGCCCCAGAAGCCCAAGGGAGGCCACAGAGACCAUCCAGCACUACACAGCUGGCCCAGACCAGAAAAUCCUCCCUCAAGGAACUUAAAGAAUAGUCCUGAACCUGCAGGAGACAGAUGUGUGGGCCAACAGUGACAGAGAGCACAGCAGUUACUUUGUCAGAGGCUUGUGUGGGUCAAGUGUGCAGAGCAGGGGAGCGUGGAGGGGGCCUGUGGGGACAGGAAGGACUGACAGAGGCCACCACAUAGGAGCUGAGACCUGCAGAAGGAGCAGACGCUGGCAAGUGUACCAGCAGCAGGAGGAUGCUCCCAGUGUUGGAGGACCCCAGAUGCAGGUAGACAUGAGGCAGACCUUGGCAUCUGAGGGCUCUGCAGGAAUCGUGUGCUGCUAAGGGGAACCUAUGAGAUGGGCUCACCCUGAAACAGAGAUGCUUCCUGCAGCCUGGCGCGGAAACUCAAGGGAAAGAUUGGCCAACUGAUUGUUCUCUUAAAUAUUCGGUUUGACUUUCCAGGUUUUUAUUACUUUUUAUUACCCACAUUUGGUGCGAGGGCAAAUCUGUUUAUAGACACCAUCGGCAGGGCCUUUGUGAGCAAGUCUGGGACUCUGCGAAAAAAUUCUUUGGGAGCCAGCAAGGGCAUAUGUGUAUGAUAUAGACCACCCAGGCACCCACCAGACCCCCAAGUUAUUUGUACUUUCAUCCUUCCACCCUGCUGGGCAAUUUAAAGUGAUUCGAGAUGAGACUUAAGGUUGUUAGUUAUUCAGCUGGUCUUGAAACCACCUUUGCAAAGAUUAUGACAGUAAGAAAAGUCUAGGUGGCUGACUCCAUCUUGCUUCUAGCCUCACAGGCUAGCUGUCCUUGCUCAUUCCUGGGCAUAGGCCAAGCUAACCACAGGAUGAAUUUAGUUUAUAAUUUAGCUUUGAAGCAAGAAUGAUAAUAGUUCCUUCCUAAAAUAGAUCCCCUCCUGGCUCAGAGACUGACACUGCCUUUGUAAAACUAAUGAAAGGCCAUGAAAUUAGGAUUAUGGGAGGGGCCGAAUUCUGCUAAAAUGUAGCUAUAAUUCCUAGCUGCUCAAGAGUCAUGUGGCCACAGAUCACAAGACUAGUGACUUCCCCCAAUAGCUCCCUAGUAAUGUCACUAUUGUGGAGCCUAAGAUUGGUCUUUUGAAAUGUUUUUCAGACUUUUGCAUUCUGGUGAUCAACAGACUCCACCCAGACCCAUGACUCAUGACUCAGUCAGUUCUGUGGCCCCACCCAGAGGUGGACUCAUUGCACAAGGGCCCUUUUCCACACCCUUAUGAUUUCAUCUCCGACCAAUCAGCAGCACCCAUUCCCUAGUCCCCUGCCCAUGAGACUGUCCAUAAAAGCCUAGCCUCUGAGUUCUUGGGAGACUGAUGUGAAUAAUAAACUCUCAAAUACUGCUUGGCUAGCCUUGAGAUAAUUAAACUCUCUACUGCAAUACUGCUGUCUCGCAAAAAGGAUCCAUGGGUAUCUAUAUUCUCUCUCUCUCUUACAUUCUCUCUGUCUCUCUCUCUCUAUUUUUGCAGUUCCCAGGGAACACUGGAAAAUGCAGUUUGUAGGGAAACAUCUUUCUUUCCAGCUCUUUUGAUGCCAAUAGCAACAAAGAGGCCACAUGACAUGCUCUGUGCUUCUUGGAGCAGAGCCCAGGGUCUAGUGGUUAACAGGGACAACUAAACUGUACUCUUCGGCCAUCAUAUCCAGGAUGCCACAUACCAUGCCUGGAAAAAAGUCCUCACUCAUGCUUAUUCUUGCUGUCACUCUCAUCUCUCUUGACCCCUUCUAUGACAGUUCAACACAAUUCACACUUUGUUAUUGUGUGAAAGAAAAAAAAAUUUUUUUUCCUCAUGAAGAUCUUGAAGAGAGCUGUUUCUGAGCGAUCAACCUGACUGUUGCAAGAAGGCAUGUGUUGACAUGUUGAUAUGACUGUGCUUUUCUUUCUUUUCAUUGUGAUUUGCUUAGUGGGGCAGCAGACAGAGAGGUGGGGCAGAGAUCCCUGUGAUCCUCAGAGGGACUGUGAAGGGCUGGGACUGCUGCCUUAGACCAAGUUUUCUUGUCAAUUGCAAUGUCUGCGUCAAAAUUUUUCUCCAAAUGAUGGUGGAGAUCCAGCACCUCAGCAGCGAGAAUUUGCCACGUGAAACAUAAACCAAAUUAUGCAAAACCCAUAAGACAUGUGAGCCAUCUGGGGGAUAAGGAUGUCUUCCCAACCAAGACUGGAAAUUCAGAAGCUAAAAUGAAAAAAAGUAGACUUAUUUCUAAAAUUUAAAAUAAAUACGAAAUUUUUAUGGCAAAAUGCAACAUAAAGUCAUCAAGCAGGACAUUUGGGGGAAAAUGAUAAUGCAGAGGACAAAGAUAUUACAUUUACACAAAGAGAUUUUAUAAAUCAACAAGGAGAAAAGUAUGAAUAAUUAUAGCAUUUGUGAACUUAUUAGCAACCUAGUAAAUAUUUUUAAAAAGAUUAUACCCUAUGACUUAACAUUCCAGGAUAUGUGUAUGAGGAUAUUUGCUAAGCUUUAUUCAAUAUGGCAAAGCAAAACAAAACAAAACAAAAAAUCUUGAAGCAUUUACUGAGCACAUUCUGCAUGGCAGAAACUGUGUUAAGUCCUCAUUCAACUGUUUGAACAGCACAAUGAGUCGGCCAUUAGACACAGCCCCUUAUUAGGAUGAGAAACUCUAGACUCAGAGAAGGCAAGCAAUUCAGUCAAGAUUAUACAAAGAAGCUACAUGGCAGUAAAUGCCAGAUAUGAAAAAAGAUGAAGCUAAAAAUGAAAAAAAAAGAAUAACAUCAAGAAAUGUAAAAGACAGAACUAAAACUUAAAGCUAAGGCCAGGAACGGUGGCCCACACCUGUCUUCCCAGCACGUUGGGAGGUUGAGGUAGGCAGAUCGUUUGAGCCCAGGAGUUUGAGACCAGCCUGGGCAACAUGGUGAAACCCUGUCUCUACAAAAAAUACAAAAAUUAGGGCUGGGCGCCAUGGCUCAUGCCUGUAAUCCCAGCACUUUGGGAGGCUGAAAGGUCAGGAGAUCGAGACCAUCCUGGCUAACAUGGUGAAAC
This 6562-nucleotide long non-coding RNA is filed under the name Homo sapiens (human). RNAcentral's name for it is "HSALNT0115132". The record is from RNAcentral. Lineage: Eukaryota; Metazoa; Chordata; Mammalia; Primates; Hominidae.